UACCUGCAGCUCAAGUGGUGGCCGUUAUUAUUGGGCCUAAAACGUCCGUAACCGGUUUAUUAAAUGCCUGGGUAAAUCGGGCCGCUUAACGGUUCGAAUUCCGGGUAGACUGAUGGACUUGGGACCGGGAGAAGCUAGAGGUACUCCUGGGGUAGAGGUGAAAUUCUGUAAUCCUAGGGGGACCACCAGUGGCGAAGGCGUCUAGCUAGAACGGGUCUGACGGUGAGGGACGAAGCCCUGGGGCGCAAACCGGAUUAGAUACCCGGGUAGUCCAGGGUGUAAACGCUGCUUGCUUGAUGUUAGUCGGGCUCCGAGCCCGAUUAGUGUCGGAGAGAAGUUGUUAAGCAAGCUGCCUGGGAAGUACGGCCGCAAGACUGAGACUUAAAGGAAUUGGCGGGGGAGCACAGCAACGGGUGGAGCGUGCGGUUU
Molecule: ribosomal RNA, 429 nt
Filed under: uncultured archaeon
Lineage: Archaea
Description: bacterial SSU rRNA
Rfam family: Archaeal small subunit ribosomal RNA
Source: RNAcentral